Molecule: long non-coding RNA, 2642 nt
Organism: Lolium rigidum
Lineage: Eukaryota; Viridiplantae; Streptophyta; Magnoliopsida; Poales; Poaceae
Exons: 6
Source: RefSeq, a predicted model, not a curated record
CCGAUCCAACCAUUUUUUAUUGCCGUAUUCAAUCGCUGAUUUGUAGCGCAGGCGUCACACGCGGGUCGGGCAGAUCGCUGCGUUGGGGUGGAUGCGGAUCCAUACGCCGCCGCCGAUCGCGUGUUUCAAUUAGCUAGGGAUUGUAGGGCACUUAUAUUCGUGAUUGUCUAUUUAUUAUACGCCUGGGAUCCGUGGAAUUGAGCAACGGUGUUCUGGUGCACGAUGCGUCUUACGAAUUCUAUGCAAUGCAACCAACCAACCAACCGCCCAUGGCUGCUGAGGCCUCCGUGCUAGCUCGUGCAGCGGUUCCAAUGGCCUGCCUUUUUGCAAAAAUCUGAAGUAUAUAGGCUCUGAAGUAUCCUGCGCAAUGAGGAUAUGAAUUUAUGGCUUUAUGCUUUAAAAUAAACCUCUUCAGUAGGAGGAGCAGUCAUGAAUCUGCAUAUGUUUUUGAAUGGAUGAUUGCACUAAAAAAUGAUUGGUAUGCACUGCUCUGUACAAAUUAUCUAUAUAUUUGGAAGUUUGGUUUCUGUUUCUGAGAAGUAUACUCUUUGCUGUUGGGAAGUGUAAGUGUAUUGUCUCAUUUUUUCUGGUGUGCAUCUAAUCCUAAUGCGUCGUUCCUUGUUUAUCUCAGUUUAUUUUGUGUAAGUCGACAGUUCAGUUUUGUGCUUUUUAACAGUUCACCCUUGUGUCCAGGUAGCGUCGUGCGACUCGACGGAGCUCCUGAUUUUCGCUACACACACUUCUCCUAAUCUGUGAACCUCACUUCUACUAAUCUGUGAAGCUCACUUCUCUUAAUUUGUGAAGUUCACUUGCCCAUCGUGAGAAUUCCUGAUUCGGCAGAGAUAGCAGUUAACUUCCACGAUGCAGAGUUCACUUGGUCCACAGAGGGUACAAAAAGUUAAUUUUUUCAGAGGGGGAGUCCGCUUAAUUCUUGGGGCAGAGUUCACUAUUGCUUGUCCAGAGAUUUUUAAUGAGGAACUUAUUUCGUUUGAGUAGUGAGUAAUUUUUUACAACAUUGAGCAAUUUUAUUACAGACAAACACAAGUGAACUUUUAAUGAUGUAUUGUCCUGAGGCUUUUCUCACUACAUAAUCGAGUGCAAAACUGUUGUUGUUUUAGUUUAGAACUGCCCAAACUUCAGAGCUAAACUACAAUAUUUUGGCUUAAGAACUACUGCUAGUUCAUAGCUGAACAUUUGCUUGUUCCCUCGACAGCAUGCUUGGCCUCCCUCAUGACCAUUCAGGAUCUCCGCCGCCACCUGAACUAAGGUGUAUGUUUCUCUACGAACCGCUGCUGACUAGUUUGUGAACUUGCUCAAUGACCUGCACAACUCUGAACUGCCUGAUGCUAAUUCAGAAUUCUCUGUGUCAGAAAGUUCGCCUUGUGCAUUCUUGAAGUUCAAAUAUAAUCGAACCAUCUUCACUUUUGUUGGACAGUUUACUUGGGACAUAAUGGGAAGCUCAAUUUUCACAUCGUGAAAGUUCAUUUCAUUUUUCUAUGAAACAAACUAAAUGGUAAUGGUGAGUUCACUUUUGUAAAAGUGAAGUUCACUCCGCAAAUAAAAUGAAGUUCAUUUGAACAAAAAUGCAUAUUGCUGCAAUCUUGUUUUGAUGUAUAAAAGCAUUAUCUAGUAUUUCGUUUGAUCUUAACCAUCUACUACUGUCUACUAUUAUCCUUAUGCUUCCUUUUUUGUUAUAUGUAAGGAACACUACUUGACCGAGCCUACUAUGCUAUAUCUAAGAGGUGGCAUGAUGAUCCGGUAAUACUCCACGGGGAUUUCAACGCUUAAACUUAAGUACCCACAAGCAGCAUUGCAACGAGCUGGGAGUUCUUGCGGCUGGCUCCUGUGGUUGUCACUGCAAGUCAUGCUCUUCAUUGCAUGAAGCAGCCGAGCACAAAUGCACAACAGGAAUAAAGAAAUGUAGCUACACUGGACUUCCUUGUCGGUGCCUUCAUAUGCAUCUCUUCCGCUUGACACAGCGACGCCGCGAGUGACAAGGCUGCCACCCCACACUGCUGCAUCUGCUCCGCGAGUAACGCUGCUCUUUGAAUCCCUCCUGUGUUGUCUUUUUUAUGACAGGUGUUGGCGACCUGGGAGUCCAUCGCUCGCAGCCAUGGGAAGUCCAUCAAUGUCGUCCACAAUGUCCGACAGGGAACAACAUCAUCAGGAGUUCGCUUCUUCUAAUCUAUUUCUGCAGUAGCAUGUCGCGCUGGUGGCGGUCAUGUCCUAAAAUUAUUGGCCGGGGCCCUGUGCUGCUGAUUCCUUGGCCGAUACCUUCUGCGAGUGGGUGCGUGCUCCUCCGGCAGGGUAGCAGCUUGGGCGAUGAAUUCAACAAGACUUAUAGAGCUUGGCUGGAAGACACUAUAAUAUUUUUGAAUUAGCUCAUGUAUUUAGGGGAGAAGUUUUUCUGCACUUCAACGUGGCUAUUUAGGAUUCAUACUUCCUUAUUUGGGAUAUGAACUUCAACGUGGCUCCAUGAUCGCAUGCCGUUGAGAAGUUUUGUAGCAUUUUUCCUCCGUGAAGUGUUACUGUGUCUGACUUUCACUUUUGCCUUUAACUCUGAUUACUUGUAAUAAUUUGGGGAAAUGAAUAACAUGUACUUGUGUUGAUGUGUAAUAGAAAAAAUAAGAAGUUCAUUUUUA